Molecule: ribosomal RNA, 404 nt
Filed under: uncultured bacterium
Lineage: Bacteria
Description: partial 16S ribosomal RNA
Rfam family: Bacterial small subunit ribosomal RNA
Source: RNAcentral
GACGAACGCUGGCGGCGUGCCUAAUACAUGCAAGUCGAACGCAGUGGGGACGGGUGAGUAACACUUGGUUAACCUCCCCCUCAGAGGGGAUAACACUUGGAAACAGGUGCUAAACCGAUACUGAUGGAUGGACACGCGGUGCAUUAGCUAGUUGGUGAGGUAACGGCUCACCAAGGCCACGAUGCAUAGCCGACCUGAGAGGGUGAUCGGCCAAACUGGGACGGAGCAACGGCCCAGACUCCUACGGGAGGAAGCAGUAGGGAAUCGUCGGCAAUGGACGAAAGGCUGACCGAGCAAAGCCGCGGGAGUGAAGAAGGUUUUCGGAUCGUAAAACUCUGUUGUUAGAGAAGCGGUAUCUAACCAGAAAGCCACGGCUAACUACGUGCCAGCAGCCGCGGUAAUUC